AAUAAAGUGGCUGAUAAAAGUAAUGGAUUGUAAAUCCAAAAAUGAGGUGAAACCCUCCUUUAUUA
This 65-nucleotide transfer RNA is filed under the name Rhabdopleura compacta. Its description in RNAcentral is "transfer RNA-Tyr". It matches the Rfam family "tRNA". From Rfam's summary of the family: Transfer RNA (tRNA) molecules are approximately 80 nucleotides in length. Their secondary structure includes four short double-helical elements and three loops (D, anti-codon, and T loops). Further hydrogen bonds mediate the characteristic L-shaped molecular structure. tRNAs have two regions of fundamental functional importance: the anti-codon, which is responsible for specific mRNA codon recognition, and the 3' end, to which the tRNAs corresponding amino acid is attached (by aminoacyl-tRNA synthetases). tRNAs cope with the degeneracy of the genetic code in two manners: having more than one tRNA (with a specific anti-codon) for a particular amino acid; and 'wobble' base-pairing, i.e. permitting non-standard base-pairing at the 3rd anti-codon position. Lineage: Eukaryota; Metazoa; Hemichordata; Pterobranchia; Rhabdopleurida; Rhabdopleuridae. The record is from RNAcentral.